Loxodonta africana (African savanna elephant) is the source of this 105-nucleotide small nuclear RNA. Lineage: Eukaryota; Metazoa; Chordata; Mammalia; Proboscidea; Elephantidae. The record is from Ensembl.
GUGCUUGCUUCGGCAGCACAUGUACUAAGAUUGUAAUGAUACAGAGAAGAUUAGCAUGGCCCCUGAACAAGGAUGGCACAUAAAUUUGUGAAAAAACAUUUUUAU